GACGAACGCUGGCGGCGUGCUUAACACAUGCAAGUCGAACGAAGUGGCGAACGGGUGAGUAACGCGUAAUCAACCUGCCCAUCAGAGGGGGACAACAGUUGGAAACGACUGCUAAUACCGCAUACUGACGGUGGGGUUUGCGUCUGAUUAGCUAGUUGGGGGGGAAACGGCCCACCAAGGCGAUGAUCAGUAGCCGGUCUGGGAGGAUGGACGGGCACAUUUGGACUGGUAAACGGCCCAGACUUCUACGGGAGGCAGCAGUGGGGAAUCUUCCGCAAUGGACGAAAGUCUGACGGAGCAACGCCGCGUGAGUGAUGACGGCCUUCGGGUUGUAAAGCUCUGUUAAUCGGGACGCGGUACCGGAAUAGAAAGCCACGGCUAACUACGUGCCAGCCGCCGCGGUAAUUC
Molecule: ribosomal RNA, 408 nt
Filed under: uncultured bacterium
Lineage: Bacteria
Description: partial 16S ribosomal RNA
Rfam family: Bacterial small subunit ribosomal RNA
Source: RNAcentral